CGGACCUCCGAUUCCGAUUCCGUAAAAAGCUAUACGUUCGGAAUUUCACCACUAACCCAAACACAGAUUCAAUUACAGUCUAAAUACAAUUUAUCCAAUUCAAUUCUUCAGCAUCAACAAUCCCAAUUAGGGUCAAAUUAACGGCUUAUCACUACCCAUUACAUAUUAUCCCAUAAUACCCAUUAAUCGACGAUAAACCCCCCUUACCUGAUUAAUCCGGCGAAUCUCAAGCUCCAAGCUCUUCUCUUCUCCAACCUUCU
Molecule: long non-coding RNA, 260 nt
Filed under: Lathyrus oleraceus (garden pea)
Lineage: Eukaryota; Viridiplantae; Streptophyta; Magnoliopsida; Fabales; Fabaceae
Description: Pisum sativum (pea) long non-coding RNA (PSAT_LNC000316)
Source: RNAcentral